This 432-nucleotide ribosomal RNA is filed under the name uncultured bacterium. Its description in RNAcentral is "partial 16S ribosomal RNA". It matches the Rfam family "Bacterial small subunit ribosomal RNA", at positions 29 to 506 of the family's 1533-position model. The record is from RNAcentral.
AACGAACGCUGGCGGCAUGCCUAACACAUGCAAGUCGAACGAGACCUUCGGGUCUAGUGGCGAACGGGUGCGUAACGCGUGGGAACCUGCCCUUAGGUUCGGAAUAACUCCCCGAAAGGGGUGCUAAUACCGGAUAAUGUCUUCGGACCAAAGAUUUAUCGCCUUUGGAUGGGCCCGCGUUGGAUUAGCUAGUUGGUAGGGUAAAAGCCUACCAAGGCGACGAUCCAUAGCUGGUCUGAGAGGAUGAUCAGCCACACUGGGACUGAGACACGGCCCAGACUCCUACGGGAGGCAGCAGUGGGGAAUAUUGGACAAUGGGCGAAAGCCUGAUCCAGCAAUGCCGCGUGAGUGAUGAAGGCCUUAGGGUUGUAAAGCUCUUUUACCCGGGAUGAUAAUGACAGUACCGGGAGAAUAAGCUCCGGCUAACUCCGU